Molecule: ribosomal RNA, 253 nt
Filed under: uncultured bacterium
Lineage: Bacteria
Description: partial 16S ribosomal RNA
Rfam family: Bacterial small subunit ribosomal RNA
Source: RNAcentral
UACGUAGGGGGCAAGCGUUAUCCGGAUUUACUGGGUGUAAAGGGAGCGCAGACGGCAGUGCAAGUCUGGAGUGAAAGCCCGGGGCCCAACCCCGGGACUGCUCUUGGAACUGCGCGGCUGGAGUGCAGGAGGGGCAGGCGGAAUUCCUGGUGUAGCGGUGAAAUGCGUAGAUAUCAGGAGGAACACCGGUGGCGAAGGCGGCCUGCUGGACUGCGACUGACGUUGAGGCCCGAAAGCGUGGGGAGCAAACAGG